Molecule: ribosomal RNA, 309 nt
Filed under: uncultured archaeon
Lineage: Archaea
Description: bacterial SSU rRNA
Rfam family: Archaeal small subunit ribosomal RNA
Source: RNAcentral
AACCUCCGCAAUGCUCGAAAGAGCGACGGGGGGACCCCCAGUGCCGUGGCAACGCCACGGCUUUUCCGGAGUGUAAAGAGCUCCGGGAAUAAGGGCUGGGCAAGGCCGGUGGCAGCCGCCGCGGUAAUACCGGCGGCCCGAGUGGUGGCCGCUAUUAUUGGGCCUAAAGCGUCCGUAGCCGGGCUUGUAAGUCCCUGGCGAAAUCCCACGGCUCAACCGUGGGGCUUGCUGGGGAUACUGCAAGCCUUGGGACCGGGAGAGGCGGAGGGUACUCCNGGGGUAGGGGUGAAAUCCUAUAAUCCCAGGAGG